GAUGAAGAACGCAGCGAAAUGCGAUAAGUAGUGUGAAUUGCAGAAUUCAGUGAAUCAUCGAAUCUUUGAACGCACAUUGCGCCCUUUGGUAUUCCUUAGGGCAUGCCUGUUCGAGCGUCAUUUAAACCUUCAAGCUCAGCUUGGUGUUGGGUGACUGUCCGCUUCACCACGGACUCGCCUCAAAAUUAUUGGCGGCCGGUACAUUGGCUUCGAGCGCAGCAGAAACGCGAACUCGGGCCCGUCGUAUUGGCUCCCAGAAGCUAUCUUCACAAUUUUGACCUCGGAUCAGGUAGGGAUACCCGCUGAACUUAAGCAUAUCAAUAAGCGGAGGA
This 332-nucleotide unclassified non-coding RNA is filed under the name soil metagenome. RNAcentral describes it as "partial contains 5.8S ribosomal RNA, internal transcribed spacer 2, and large subunit ribosomal RNA". The stretch from base 1 to 120 matches the Rfam family "5.8S ribosomal RNA", at positions 35 to 154 of the family's 154-position model. The record is from RNAcentral.